RNAcentral lists this long non-coding RNA (1983 nucleotides) under Gallus gallus (chicken). RNAcentral describes it as "lncRNA (ENSGALG00010018896.1)". The record is from RNAcentral. Lineage: Eukaryota; Metazoa; Chordata; Aves; Galliformes; Phasianidae.
GGAUUGCGAUGGCUCCGGCGUCCUCAUUUGUGCUGGAGAUCACAGUGCUUGCUGUCAACCUUUUCCUGAUAAUAACGCCUUCCUGAAUUGUAUUGUGCUGUAUUUAUUAUGCUUGUCUGGAAGAGGUCUCCUCACUGGACACCCUUCAGAGUAUUUUAGGAUCCUUCAGCAUUUUCCCUUCUCUUCUCCACCCUUCCCCCAUGCUGCCAUCCACCUUCCCUUUCCUGCUGCAUGGGAAGCAGACCCCUCCUGCCGCAGCCUCGCAGCAAAGAGCAGAGGCCGCAUUUAACAGCUCAGCAGCUUUUAGCUCCGUGGCUCUCCCCCAGGUUCCCAGGCAUGGGGUCAUAUCAAACCUCUAAUUGGUGUCCUUGGCCCUGCAAGAGCAUCCCCUGCUCGAGUCCUUCCUGCUGUCCUGCAGUACUCCAGGUCCUGCAGUGCCCCUUGGCUUUGCAGAAGGAGAAAGGACAGAUCUUUGGUGUGAGGUUUUAAUAGCUGUUGGGGCAAUAGAUGUUUUAGAGACUGUGAUUUUGUAUCUGGCAUCCUCUUCUGUGGUCUCAAACCAAGAAAUGGCAAAGCAUGGAGCUGGAAGGAUGAAGCGAAGACUUGUCACAGCGAAUCUGGAAAUGCGGAGGACACAAAGACUGUCCUCAUCUGGAAGACCUCCAGUGCAGGAAGAGCACCUACUGGGGGACAACCACAUACCAGGGACACCUCAGCACGACUCCUGUGACAACACCAGGAGGCAGCAGGGACCAGCAGCACUGAUCCACAGGUGAUGCUGCUAAGAGUACUUCAUACACAGGUAGAAUGUGAGUUUAUGUGGGUUUUGACACUAGCAAAAUAUUCCAGCCUGGAUAGGCAUCAGCUCAUGUAUCUGUAGGUAGUUGAGGGAAGAGCGACCACUUUUAGGACAAUGCUCAUUCACACAAUGAUUGCCCUUGGGGAAGAUGUUGCAGCCAUGUGACAGACACGACACUGUGAUGAUGCUGUGCCCAACACAGCGGGGUUUGGGGGCAGAGAUAAGGAGCCCAGCCUGCUGCCAGAUGUGCCGAGCUGGAGGGAGCACAGCACUGCAGAAUCACAGAGCACAGAAAUGAGCUGAGCUUAGCAUGCCAGCAUCCUCUCACACACACACGAGAGCUGUGUGGAAUCGCAGUCCUGACAAAGCCUGACUUCUCCGAUUCAGAGGAAAUGAAAAGGACUUUGUGACUGCUGUGACCGCUGAUAGAGGGUUGGUGUGCCCAGGGGACAGCCAGCCAAGGGAGAGGGAGGAGCGCUGGAAGAUUUGGCUUCAGUGAACAGUUCCUUAAAUUCAAUGAGUCAUGAUUUUCUUUCGGCGCACGCGGCCCUCUGUGUAUAAACUCCAGCCCAGAGAGAAAAAUAUCCCCUGGUCAUUGGUGAGAGCGGGCAAUGGUUUCCUAAGGAUUAAUUCCUCCUAACAGAUAUGGUCUGCAUUCCUUUGGAAGAUGCCCUCCCACAGGCCCUCUCUCACAGAGCCACACUAAAAAUAGAGCUGAGUGCUUCCUGAUGGCACCGCUGUGUUUCUCUGGAAAGGCAGGUGUUGUUUCUCUGGAAAGUUUUAUUUCUCCAUUUAAAAAAUGUCAUUUUGGAAAUGGGAGUACGUCCCUGGAUUUGUAUCACCUGGCUUUUUCUGAACGACUCCUCUUGUCUCUUCUCCAAGAAAAAGACACAGUGGCUGAGGAUGGAGAAGCGCUCCCAGUCCCUGUGGGAGAGCUGGAGGGUGCCUGGUCUGGAUGCUUCUGAUGCCAAUGGGGAACUGAAACUACAGCCCUGGAGAGGAAACAAGAUCAUCGCUGCUGCUCCCUUCGCACUCCUGACUUUGUUUGCUUUGUGUGACUGGUUUCUGGCUGAAUAAAACAAAAUCUCCUGGCCCUCUGAGAUGAGGAAAAUCAUCCGGUGACAAAAGGAAGUUCUGAGGGGUUUGAGAUGUGUCCCUCUCCUGGGAAAGAGAAAGGAUGCCCC